Molecule: ribosomal RNA, 914 nt
Filed under: Codosiga sp. FFN-2011
Lineage: Eukaryota; Choanoflagellata; Craspedida; Salpingoecidae
Description: eukaryotic LSU rRNA
Rfam family: Eukaryotic large subunit ribosomal RNA
Source: RNAcentral
AGGUUUUGGGGCUGAAACAGCCUCGGCCUAUUCUCAAACUUUGAAUUGGUAAAGGAUGUUGCUUGUUUUGUGAAAGCAAUGUUUAAACGUGGCGGUCCUAGUGGGCCAUUUUUGGUAAGCAGAACUGGCGAUGCGGGAUGAACCGAAAGAGGCAGUUAAGGAACCGGAGAGGAGGCUCAUUGGACUAAUCAAAAAGGUGUUGGUUUUUUAAGACAGCAGGACGGUGGCCAUGGAAGUCGGAAUCCGCUAAGGAGUGUGUAACAACUCACCUGCCGAAAAGAGUAGCCCUUAAAAUGGAUGGUUUUGUUGCCUUGCUCCCAGACUGCUCUGGCUGCAAAGGAUGAUUUGCAGCCAUGUAGGCGGAUGUGAGGAUUGUGUGGAAGAGUGGUGGUGACGCUGCUUGGAACGGUCCUUAGUACAGAUCUUGGUGGAAGUAGCAACUAUUCAAAAGAGUGACUUGAUACUUUUUGAAGACUGAAAGUGGAGAAAGGUUCCGUGUGAACAGCAGUUGGACACGGGUGAGUCGGUCCUAAGGAGGGUGCCUGAUUGGUUAUUAGAUAAGAUUGGUGGGGUUAUAAUCCACAUACCUCCGAAAGGGAAUUUGGUUAAGAUUCCAAAACCAUGGGGAGCCAAUAUUGUAAGAGUGGUAACACUUUGAUGACGUGAGACGGCCGGGGGUGAUCCAGGAAGAGUUUUUGAUGCUUUUCUUUUUAAUGUGUGGGAGCGCUUGGAAUUGCAUUAUGCAGAGAAGAGGGUUCUUACAGAGAAGAAGUGGCGCAUUUUAGUGCUGCUCUGGAAAUUACGCCAGGUCCCGUGAAAAUCGCGUUGUUUGAUAGGCAAACUAUGGCCGUACUGCAAACCGCAUCAGGUCUCCAAGGUGAAGAGCCUCNAGUGAUAGAAGAAUGUAUGAUAAG